CGAACGGGCUCUUCGGAGCUAGUGGCAGACGGGUGAGUAACGCGUGGGAACGUGCCUUUCGGUUCGGAAUAACUCAGGGAAACUUGAACUAAUACCGGAUACGCCCUUCGGGGGAAAGAUUUAUCGCCGAAAGAUCGGCCCGCGUCUGAUUAGCUAGUUGGUGAGGUAAUGGCUCACCAAGGCGACGAUCAGUAGCUGGUCUGAGAGGAUGAUCAGCCACAUUGGGACUGAGACACGGCCCAAACUCCUACGGGAGGCAGCAGCC
Molecule: ribosomal RNA, 265 nt
Filed under: uncultured Allobosea sp.
Lineage: Bacteria; Pseudomonadati; Pseudomonadota; Alphaproteobacteria; Hyphomicrobiales; Alloboseaceae
Description: uncultured Bosea sp. partial 16S ribosomal RNA
Rfam family: Bacterial small subunit ribosomal RNA
Source: RNAcentral